UGUGUUCACCUUUUCACCAGCAUCCACUUCUGUGUGAUAACCCACCAAGCAGCUUGGGGAUCAUCUCUCUGAAAGAAGAUUGCUUUGGGAUGGCCCAAGGAACAUAUAUAGGACAUUGAGGAGAUAUAGUUUUAGCUGUACUGCAUUAUCAGAAGUAUGAUUUAUGAGCAGGUGUCUAUACAGAUGCUCAAGCUGGGUACCAUGAGCAGUGCAGACACAGGGUCUCAAGGGGCAAUACAAUAUCUUUAGUCACUCAGAAUCCUAUUGCAGACUCUGCAUAUGUUGAUACUUCAAGGAGCUGAGUCAGGAACUGUGGGAUAGGUGUCCAGAGGGCAGUGCAACUACCACAGCUACUAGAGUGCUGUGUGUGUGGCUGCAGGGCAGGACUGAAACAGGAUGGUCUGUGUGACUGCACUGCACCAUUACUUUUUCCACUAAGGCGAUCCACUGAUUUGAUUACCAAUGGUGCAUUUCUCUAGUUUUGUACCUAUCCUUCAAAGUCAGGCUGGACAGGUUUGUCAAUUCAGUACCUUUCGUGGACGCUAAAAAUAAUUCAAGUUAUAACCCAGGCAGGGCGCAGAAUUUUGCUGAUGUAUUGAGAGUCACUUGCAGAACAUUGCAGCAUUCACAUGUAUUUUUCAUGACUUCAGGUAUUGUAAGAGAUAUGUCUCACUGCAAUAGGGUGAGUUGUUCUAUUUUCCUCAGAAUUGCCAUGAGACUCUUUACUUUGACCAUUGUUUUCUAGUUUGUCCCAGAACAAUUUUUCAUUGUUAUAAUGUCAGAUUUCAUUUUUAUGCCGGUGAUACAGUUAUGACUGUCUUUGAAAUCCAACUUCUCUGGGUCUUUUCUUGUCUUGCAGGCAUUAAUGUUUCGAAAUCGCAUGUCGCUAAAUGUUGCCAAAAUGGAGCUCCUGGUGAUUGUCUCCUUAAAUUUACUGAGAAAUGCCAGUCAUAUUCUUCUGGCCUUUGGUGACCUUCAGUUCUAUUUCAAACAGCUCCAUCUUUUUUCUGGAAAGAUUUCCCUUCUUCCCCCUCUAAGAAAUGCUGCCAGAUGAGAAUGCAGAAAUGAAACGUGAUGAAAAUUUGAUUUUCAAAUGCAGAUCACAGAUUGUGCCUGGUUCUGCAAGACUCUGUUCUGGAAAAUGAUUGCUGCUUCUCUUUAGGGGAAUAACUGCAGGGCUUGUGUAAGAGUAUGGACAAGCUGUUCAGUAACAACCAUCCUCAACCUUUGCCUAAAACUCAAACAAAGCCUGACCUGAACAGUUCUGGUGAUCUGUGAAUGAGUUUCCUUACAUGGUUUAAAAAACU
This 1307-nucleotide long non-coding RNA is filed under the name Chrysemys picta bellii (western painted turtle). RNAcentral's name for it is "lncRNA (ENSCPBG00000009209.1)". The record is from RNAcentral. Lineage: Eukaryota; Metazoa; Chordata; Testudines; Emydidae.